This 357-nucleotide unclassified non-coding RNA is filed under the name soil metagenome. Its description in RNAcentral is "partial contains 5.8S ribosomal RNA, internal transcribed spacer 2, and large subunit ribosomal RNA". The stretch from base 1 to 119 matches the Rfam family "5.8S ribosomal RNA", at positions 35 to 154 of the family's 154-position model. The record is from RNAcentral.
GAUGAAAACGUAGUGAAAUGCGAUAAGUAAUGUGAAUUGCAGAAUUCAGUGAAUCAUCGAAUCUUUGAACGCACAUUGCGCCCAUUAGUAUUCUAGUGGGCAUGCCUGUUCGAGCGUCAUUUCAACCCUCAAGCCUUAGUUGCUUGGUGUUGGGAGCUUAUCUUGCCGAAAGGCGGGACAACUCCUUAAAUUUAUCGGCGGAGUCGCGGUGACCCCAAGCGUAGUAAAUUAUUUUUUCCUCGCUUUAGGUGUUAACGCUGGCUUUUCUAGCCGUUAAACCCCCCCUAAUAUUUUAAUGGUUGACCUCGGAUCAGGUAGGACUACCCGCUGAACUUAAGCAUAUCAAUAAGCGGAGGA